Molecule: ribosomal RNA, 401 nt
Filed under: uncultured bacterium
Lineage: Bacteria
Description: bacterial SSU rRNA
Rfam family: Bacterial small subunit ribosomal RNA
Source: RNAcentral
AAUCAACGCUGGCGGCGUGCCUCAGACAUGCAAGUCGAACGCGAAAGGUUCCUUCGGGGACCGAGUAGAGUGGCGCACGGGUGAGUAACACGUAGGUAAUUUCCCUUUGGGUGGGGAAUAACUCAGGGAAACUUGAGCUAAUACCGCAUAAUGCAGCGGCUCGACAUCGAGACAGUUGUUAAAGCGGGGGAUUCGCAAGAACCUCGCGCCUAAAGAGAAGCCUGCGGCAGAUUAGCUAGUUGGUAAGGUAAUGGCUUACCAAGGCGACGAUCUGUAACCGGCCUGAGAGGGCGGUCGGUCACACUGACACUGACAUACGGGUCAGACUCCUACGGGAGGCAGCAGUCGGGAAUUUUGGGCAAUGGGCGAAAGCCUGACCCAGCAACGCCGCGUGAAGGAUG